Molecule: long non-coding RNA, 319 nt
Filed under: Nicotiana benthamiana
Lineage: Eukaryota; Viridiplantae; Streptophyta; Magnoliopsida; Solanales; Solanaceae
Description: long non-coding RNA (NBEN_LNC022270)
Source: RNAcentral
GGCGUGGGAGAGGGAGGCCUAAGAAGCAUUGGGGAGAGGUGAUUAGGCAGGACAUGGCCAGAAUGCAGGUUACCGAGGACAUGCCUCUUGAUAGGGGAGUCUGGAGGUCUAGAAUCAAGAUUGUAGGUUAGGGUCUCAUAAGUGAUUAGUGUUUUAGUAUGAUAGUUCCUGCUUGAUAUUACUGCAUGCGACUGUAUUUAUGUUGCUUAUAUUUUCAUAACUAUAUACGUUACUUUUGUGGGAGUACCUAUGCUUGAUUAUUUGAUUUUGUCUUGCUUGUGUUUCUAAUUUUAUCUCUGUUUCUUAAUGCAGCUUCCCC